UUCAAACCAUAUUCUCUUGACUUUUUCCAUUACACUCUUUCAAUUAGGGGAACUGGAGAUGUUUCAUUUGGAGACAAGAAGGCUUUGGGGAAGCAAGGAGGGAAUGAAUGAAACCUCUUUACUUCUUCCAAAAGCUGGAAGAUUCCUUGGCCUCCUGGGGCAUUCUCUGUUCUGGCCAAACUUAAAGAAGAGGCUCCCACUGAUGAAGCUGGUUGCCGUGGAAAUUACCAGGCUGCAGAUGAUUUCAGUCUCAAGGUUGAGUUGGAUAUAUGUUGGGGUAUGCCGAAGACUGUUCCCACUGGCUUUCAAGAAAUGAUUAUUAAAUUAUCAGUGUCAGCAUUUACACUUCAGAAGUCAGCAAAAACUACAAAUAAGGGCUUGAUUUAUUGUUUUGUUGAAUGUCUAGGCUUAAGAAAGUGAUG
RNAcentral lists this long non-coding RNA (422 nucleotides) under Phascolarctos cinereus (koala). Its description in RNAcentral is "lncRNA (ENSPCIG00000032259.1)". The record is from RNAcentral. Lineage: Eukaryota; Metazoa; Chordata; Mammalia; Diprotodontia; Phascolarctidae.